UAGUUUAGUGGCGGACGGGUGAGUAACACGUGAGCAACCUGCCUUCGAGAGGGGAAUAACGGCUGGAAACGGUCGCUAAUACCGCAUAACAUACGGGAGGGACAUCCCUUUUGUAUCAAAGAUUUAUCGCUCGAAGAUGGGCUCGCGUCCGAUUAGGUAGUUGGUGAGGUAACGGCCCACCAAGCCGACGAUCGGUAGCCGGACUGAGAGGUUGAACGGCCACAUUGGGACUGAGACACGGCCCAGACUCCUACGGAAGGCAGCAG
This 266-nucleotide ribosomal RNA is filed under the name uncultured bacterium. RNAcentral describes it as "partial 16S ribosomal RNA". It matches the Rfam family "Bacterial small subunit ribosomal RNA", at positions 88 to 354 of the family's 1533-position model. The record is from RNAcentral.